UACGGACUGUGCGAACGUUAUUCGGAAUCACUGGGCUUAAAGGGUGCGUAGGCGGCUUGUCAGGUCAGGUGUGAAAUCCCCAGGCCCAACCGGGGAACUGCAUUGGAAACCGACAUGCUUGAGCGAGCUAGGGGUAUGCGGAACUUCCAGUGGAGCGGUGAAAUGUGUAGAUAUUGGAAGGAACACCGGUGGCGAAAGCGGCAUACUGGGGCUUGUCUGACGCUGAGGAACGAAAGCUAGGGGAGCAAACAGG
RNAcentral lists this ribosomal RNA (253 nucleotides) under uncultured bacterium. RNAcentral's name for it is "partial 16S ribosomal RNA". It matches the Rfam family "Bacterial small subunit ribosomal RNA", at positions 524 to 776 of the family's 1533-position model. The record is from RNAcentral.